UACGGAGGGUGCAAGCGUUAAUCGGAAUUACUGGGCGUAAAGCGCGCGCAGGCGGUUUGUUAAGUCAGAUGUGAAAUCCCACGGCUCAACCUGGGAACGGCAUUUGAUACUGGGAGGCUUGAGUCGCGUAGAGGGGGGUGGAAUUCCAGGUGUAGCGGUGAAAUGCGUAGAGAUCUGGAGGAACAUCGGUGGCGAAGGCGGCGUCCUGGACGAAGACUGACGCUGAGGCGCGAAAGCGUGGGGAGCAAACAGG
RNAcentral lists this ribosomal RNA (253 nucleotides) under uncultured bacterium. RNAcentral describes it as "partial 16S ribosomal RNA". It matches the Rfam family "Bacterial small subunit ribosomal RNA", at positions 524 to 776 of the family's 1533-position model. The record is from RNAcentral.